Molecule: small RNA, 703 nt
Filed under: Pan troglodytes (chimpanzee)
Lineage: Eukaryota; Metazoa; Chordata; Mammalia; Primates; Hominidae
Description: retained intron
Source: RNAcentral
UAAUAAUGCUAGCAGAGAGAGCCCACCAUGAGGCUAUUGUGCAAUUGAACGAUGCUGGAAGAAAUGUUUUUAAAGAGAAUGUUUAUCUCCAGAAAGCUCUGGCAUAUCACCUGAAGGAAACUGACGCUCUACAAAAAAACUCCCAGAAGUUGCAAGAGAGUCAUACUUUACUUUUACAUCAAAAGGUUCCCUCUCAUUUAGACUUGGUGUCCUUCUUUUCUUUAUUUAAGGAUUGGGUUGGUAAAUACCAAAAAUUGGGUAUAAUAAUGAUAUAUAAGGACAAUGAGACCAUUUUCAUCUGUCUGGAUGAUGCACUUUUUUUAUCUGAAAAGGUUAAAUACUCAAUCUUAUAAUGCUUAUAAGAAGCACUAGACUCAACUUAUAAAGAAUAUAUCAGAAACAUAAAUAUGACCCUUAUCCUCUACUACCUUAGAAUAUUCAUUUUUCUUUGCUUAGAGUUGGUCCCUGAGUCACUUAGGAAUACAUUUAGCGGUGAGUAACAGUCCUGACAUCAGUGACAUCACCACACAAGGGUUUAUUCUUUCACCUAAAGGAGGCCUGGAGGUAAGCAAUCCACAGCAGGAAUGGUAGUGCCACAAAGUUAAUAGACACUCAGCUUCCUUAACUCUGCUCUGCAACACUUGGCUUACAUCCUCAAACUCACCUCACAGCCUGGGGGGCGCUGCUGGAGCUCUAACCAUUC